Molecule: non-coding RNA, 909 nt
Organism: Doryrhamphus excisus (bluestripe pipefish)
Lineage: Eukaryota; Metazoa; Chordata; Actinopteri; Syngnathiformes; Syngnathidae
Source: RefSeq, a predicted model, not a curated record
UCAAUCCCACAUCUCUGUGUGGAGUUUGCAUGUUCUCCCUGUGCAUGUGUGUUUUUUUUCCGGGUACUCCGGUUUCCUCCCACAUUCCAAAAACAUGCUAGGUUAAUUAGCGACUCCAAAUUGUCCAUAGGUAUGAAUGUGAGUGUGAAUGGUUGUUUGUCUAUAUAUCCCCUGUGAUUGACUGGCCACCAGUCCAGGGUGUACGCCGCCUCUCGCCCAAAGACAGCUGGGUAGAAAAUGAAUGAAUUUAUUGCAAUAGAAAUUAUGAGUGGGUGGGAGACCACAAGUCGGGUGCCAUGGAGGUACGAAUUGAAACCUUGAAAGUGAUUAACUUCUUUUUACACUUGUGGAACAGCUUCACUUCAGAGCCUCGUCUUCCUGGAGCUGCCAUGACUGUUAUUUUUAAAUUUAUGCUGUUUCCCUUGCUUUCUUCAUGGUUCCACAGUAUAAGAUGUACCACAUGAAAUCAUAUUUAACUAUUUUAUUCUUACCUCUGUCAGUGUUGGUGUUGCAGGGUGGAAGACCAACUUUGCUCUUUCCAAGGUCGACGACUGGAGGACGCACAACUACCUACAGAAGACACAGCGGGUUGCCGGGUCAAGGCCAUCAUGGACGCGCCUGACUGGGUCUAGCAGGCCGCCGGGGAAUCUCAAGAACCACUUUGGGCCCCACUGAGCUGUUUCUACAUCCCCUGUGGACCAGUAAAGGAGAAGAAGACACCAGGUCAGAGCAGCCAUGAUGCACCCUGCAGCAAUCUGACACGCAACCAACCAUACGAAAUGUGACACAGGAGUUACAGUCUACUGGUUCCCAAUCCGCACUGGAAUUUAGCCGCUUGACUCUCCCAGUUGGGCCCCUCCAUGCAGGCCCCAGCGGCGGGAGUGCAGCAGCAGAAGCGGGGAAGACCAG